UGGUGUCCGAUAGGACUUAAUAGGGAAUCGGGUGUGAAUCCCGGACAGUUCCCGCUGCUGUGAUCUUUUGUAGCUGAGACUAUUAUGUCACUGUGUGUCCCAAAAUACACGGGAAGGCGGUCUCAGUUGGAAGUAAGUCAGAAGACCUGCCAUCUGUCAUU
This 161-nucleotide non-coding RNA is filed under the name human gut metagenome. The record is from RNAcentral.